RNAcentral lists this ribosomal RNA (460 nucleotides) under uncultured bacterium. Its description in RNAcentral is "partial 16S ribosomal RNA". It matches the Rfam family "Bacterial small subunit ribosomal RNA", at positions 338 to 795 of the family's 1533-position model. The record is from RNAcentral.
CCUACGGGUGGCAGCAGUGAGGAAUAUUGGUCAAUGGACGCAAGUCUGAACCAGCCAUGCAGCGUGCAGGAUGACGGCUCUAUGGGUUGUAAACUGCUUUUAGACGGGGAUAAAAGGCGAUACGUGUGUCGCGUUUAAUAUAUCUUACGAAUAAGGGUCGGCGAACUCCGUGCGAGCAGCCGCGGUAAUACGGAGGAUUCAAGCGUUAUCCGGGUUUAUUGGGUUUAAAGGGUGCGUAGGCGGGCUGUUAAGUCAGAGGUGAAAUCCCGCGGAUCAACGGUGGCAUUGCCGUUGAUACUGUAGGCCGUGAGUUCAGUUGCGGUAGGCGGAAUUCAUGGUGUAGCGGUGAAAUGCUUAGAGAUCAUAAAGAACUCCGAUCGCGAAGGCAGCUUACCAGACUACGACUGACGUUGAGGCUCGAAAGUGCGGGUAGCAAACAGGAUUAGAUACCCGUGUAGUC